This 927-nucleotide ribosomal RNA is filed under the name uncultured bacterium. RNAcentral describes it as "bacterial SSU rRNA". It matches the Rfam family "Bacterial small subunit ribosomal RNA", at positions 19 to 937 of the family's 1533-position model. The record is from RNAcentral.
CCGGGUAUCUUUGUAUUUUGAGGCGAGCUUCCAUGCAAGUCGAACGGCAGCGCGGGAGGGGGCAACCCUGACUGGCGGCGAGUGGCGAACGGGUGAGUAAUAUAUCGGAACGUGCCCUGGAGUGGGGGAUAACGCAGCGAAAGUUGCGCUAAUACCGCAUACGAUCUAAGGAUGAAAGCAGGGGACCGCAAGGCCUUGUGCUCCUGGAGCGGCCGAUAUCUGAUUAGCUAGUUGGUGGGGUAAAGGCCUACCAAGGCAUCGAUCAGUAGCUGGUCUGAGAGGACGACCAGCCACACUGGAACUGAGACACGGUCCAGACUCCUACGGGAGGCAGCAGUGGGGAAUUUUGGACAAUGGGCGCAAGCCUGAUCCAGCAAUGCCGCGUGAGUGAAGAAGGCCUUCGGGUUGUAAAGCUCUUUUGUCAGGGAAGAAACGGCAUCGCCUAAUACGAGGUGCUAAUGACGGUACCUGAAGAAUAAGCACCGGCUAACUACGUGCCAGCAGCCGCGGUAAUACGUAGGGUGCAAGCGUUAAUCGGAAUUACUGGGCGUAAAGCGUGCGCAGGCGGUUUUGUAAGAUUGUCGUGAAAUCCCCGGGCUCAACCUGGGAAUGGCGAUGAAGACUGCAAGGCUAGAAUCUGGCAGAGGGGGGUAGAAUUCCACGUGUAGCAGUGAAAUGCGUAGAGAUGUGGAGGAACACCGAUGGCGAAGGCAGCCCCCUGGGUCAAGAUUGACGCUCAUGCACGAAAGCGUGGGGAGCAAACAGGAUUAGAUACCCUGGUAGUCCACGCCCUAAACGAUGUCUACUAGUUGUCGGGGUUUUAAUUAACUUGGUAACGCAGCUAACGCGUGAAGUAGACCGCCUGGGGGAGUACGGUCGCAAGAUUAAAACUCAAAGGAAUUGACGGGGACCCGCACAGCGUUGAUA